UCAAAUGUAUUUCCGUUUAACUCGUACCCUUGGAAAUGUAAUACAGUCGAAGAAGGUGACGAGUCCAACAAGUAGAGAUGAUCUCUAACAGUGUUGUCAUUCAUGAGACGUGCUCGCAACCAACUGCCGAAAGUAUCCAUGUGUUUUUCUUCAAUCCAGGAGAUAGCCUUCCCCAUGGACUCGUACCGUACAAAAUUCUUGUGCUCCUCGAUAUACGAAGCCACGAAGGUGGAACUUUUUAGAACUGUGUAGUGUGCUUGAGUGAAAGAAUGCACAUCCCUACAUAUCACAACUUACUUUCCUAGUGUGC
Molecule: long non-coding RNA, 310 nt
Filed under: Hordeum vulgare
Lineage: Eukaryota; Viridiplantae; Streptophyta; Magnoliopsida; Poales; Poaceae
Description: long non-coding RNA (HVUL_LNC018115)
Source: RNAcentral